This 439-nucleotide ribosomal RNA is filed under the name uncultured bacterium. Its description in RNAcentral is "partial 16S ribosomal RNA". It matches the Rfam family "Bacterial small subunit ribosomal RNA", at positions 339 to 795 of the family's 1533-position model. The record is from RNAcentral.
CUAUGGGGUGCUCCAGUGAGGAAUAUUGCACAAUGGGGGGAACCCUGAUGCAGCAACGCCGCGUGGAGGAUGACGCAUUUCGGUGUGUAAACUCCUUUUAUAUGUCAAGAAAAUGACGGUAGCAUAUGAAUAAGCACCGGCUAACUCCGUGCCAGCAGCCGCGGUAAUACGGAGGGUGCAAGCGUUACUCGGAAUCACUGGGCGUAAAGGACGCGUAGGCGGGUUGGCAAGUCAGGUGUGAAAUCCUACAGCUUAACUGUAGAACUGCACUUGAAACUUCUAAUCUAGAGUAUGGGAGGGGGAUAUGGAAUUAGUGGUGUAGGGGUAAAAUCCGUAGAUAUCACUAGGAAUACCUAAAGCGAAGGCGAUCUCCUGGAACAUUACUGACGCUAAGGCGUGAAAGCGUGGGGAGCAAACAGGAUUAGAUACCCCUGUAGUC